Molecule: ribosomal RNA, 253 nt
Filed under: uncultured bacterium
Lineage: Bacteria
Description: partial 16S ribosomal RNA
Rfam family: Bacterial small subunit ribosomal RNA
Source: RNAcentral
UACGAAGGGGGCUAGCGUUGUUCGGAAUUACUGGGCGUAAAGCGCACGUAGGCGGGUUGUUAAGUCAGGGGUGAAAUCCUGGAGCUCAACUCCAGAACUGCCUUUGAUACUGGCAACCUAGAGACUGGAAGAGGUUAGUGGAAUUCCCAGUGUAGAGGUGAAAUGCGUAGAUAUUGGGAGGAACACCAGUGGCGAAGGCGGCCACCUGGACCGGAUCUGACGCUGAUGCGCGAAAGCGUGGGUAGCAAACAGG